Osmia lignaria (orchard mason bee) is the source of this 387-nucleotide non-coding RNA. NCBI's taxonomy places the organism in Eukaryota, Metazoa, Arthropoda, Insecta, Hymenoptera, Megachilidae. The record is from RefSeq and is a predicted model, not a curated record.
UAAGAUGGAUUGAUUGUAAUAAAAUGUUACAUACAGUAUAGGUUAUGUACAAAUGGGAAGGGGGUAAGGAAGGUUCUAGAAGAUUCGCGUGCGACCCCGUUUCCGGUGUAUAUUAAAAGGUUGCCUAUGUUCUUAGACGAAAUAAUGCUUUGCCUAGGUAGGGUCAAUACGAGACAAGGGAAAGUUAACGAGGCACAACAGAGGCCUACGUAAGCACGAAGAUAAUACGAGGCAGCUGCUUCGUGCAGGUGAAGAAAGCAGAUGCUUCCUUACAAUAAAACAUGGAGUUAGAAUUUCAUGGAAGGCGUAUUUAUUUUGUCCUUCAUAUGAAUGUCUCUGUUCCAAAAUAAAUAUUUGAAGGUAAUCAGGUAUUCGUCUUAAAUUAAA